ACCCCACGCACGGAAAGACCCUGGAACAGGAAGCUCCCUCAGACCCGGAGAAAGUUGCUGUGAGCUGCAGGAGGCCGCGCUCCAGGAGACCUUUUGUGUGCGGGUUUUUGAGGACGCUGUCCAGGCCUCCAAGGCGACAGCCCACAGUUCAGGUGAUGGGAACCCGAGGUCUUGUUCUAAGUUGGAGUGAUGUGACUUAAAUGAGAUGAUUAGACAGUAGAUGAUUUGGAAGCGGAAAACGUGUAUCACACCAGUAGCAAGACAAUUACAAUGGCCGCAAGAAGACCCAGUGACAGCUUAACCUAGAAGAAUGAAACAGGAAUGGAGAAGUAAAGUCAAAUCGAUGUGGUUUAUGCCAGUUCCUCUCUCCCAGGAGACAGCCCCGCACCACACAACAUUUCGCUCAGCGGUGCGGCUGAGCACUGACAAACUCAAUCUGUGGAAGGAGCGGUCUGACAGCCCCAGGCUUGAGACUGUGUCUCUCCCAAGUACUCUGUCAUCCUGGUAACCAUGGAGACCAUGACGAUCGAUUAGAUGCCAUCUGAUCUCCACCUCAUAAAAAAAGGCAGCAGAUGGCAACCAGGCCACUAGACCUGUCUCAAGAGAGAUGAAGGGGAAGAGCAAGGGAAGGAAGGAGGAGAAAGGAGAGGAGGUGGGGGUGGGUGGGUGCAAGGAGAAGAGAGUGCACAGAAAUGUUAGAAACGGAUAGGGAAAUGUUAGAAAAGAGAACAAACAGAACCAGACAAACAAACAAAAAACAAGGAAAGCAGGAUAAGGGAAAGAGGAGACAAAAUGGAGAAAUGAAACCAAAACUCAACUGUGCCAUGGACCUCAUAGUGCGCUGUGGGAAGAAAAUCUGAAAAGGAAAAUCAGUCAGCUAUCCCCUAACUUUCUUCUACACAGGUCUCAAACAGUGGCAAAGAUGGUCACAGAACCUGAGCCACAGGGCUUCUCUGAGGACCCUUCACAACUGUGUCCUGUGGCUUUCUGUGACACCUGGAGUUUGAUGUACCCACAGGAGAAGUCUGAGACCUGGUUCUCAGAAUGAAUGCCCCUGAUUUAGGCGAGACCUUUCAGACAACUGGAUGAAGACCUACGAUAUGAUGUCUGUGGCUCCCUCUCCAGCAGUGUUUUGGUCAGACCUCAAAGAAAAAAGUGCUAAGUAGUUCUGCGGAGACCAAGAUGAGAAGAAGAGAAGGACUGUUACAUCAAUGCUGGUGGACAUGGGUGUGUUAGCCAGGCUCCCAGAGGAGUGUAACGGCUGACAUUCAUGAAGUGUGUCAGACACCGUUUAAAACAAGAGAAAAGAGAAACCACCUAUAAUCGCGUUAGUUUUACCAUAAGCAUGAUAUAUGUACAUGGGUUGUAUAAAAUGCAGCAUUUUAUGGAUAUGCACACAUGAUAUUUUAAGUAAAUACAGUACUAGAUUUUAAAUAUCAUUUGUUUAGCCUAUGCUUUUAGACAUUAUAUUAUGACCACUUUUCCAUGUUUAUUAAUUAUUCAAUCUUAUUUAAUGACAAUACAGCAUUCUACUUUUCCAUUAUGUAUUUAACUACUUCUUUAUUAUUGGACUUUCCUAGAAUUUUGCUACUAUAUAAUAAUACUAUGGUAACCAUUCUUAUAUGAGAGCCUUUCGGUGUUCCUCUUUGGCCUUAGGUAAAAACACAACUACUAAAUCAAAGAGUAUCGUUUCCUUCAAAGUUUUGAAGUUAAGUAUAACAUAUAUACAGUCAAGUGAAUA
Molecule: long non-coding RNA, 1741 nt
Organism: Fukomys damarensis (Damara mole-rat)
Lineage: Eukaryota; Metazoa; Chordata; Mammalia; Rodentia; Bathyergidae
Exons: 4
Source: RefSeq, a predicted model, not a curated record